Molecule: long non-coding RNA, 1038 nt
Filed under: Heterocephalus glaber (naked mole-rat)
Lineage: Eukaryota; Metazoa; Chordata; Mammalia; Rodentia; Bathyergidae
Description: lncRNA (ENSHGLG00000041451.1)
Source: RNAcentral
AGUUGCUACAAAUUAAGGAUCAUCUGCUUUUAUUUAAUAACAUUGAAAAGUUGUGGAAGAGAGGAUGUCUUCGUAGAGUUACAAAAUGAUGAUGAAGAGCCGAGAUGUUACUGGUAUAUUUGAGGUGCAGGGAUUCACCCUCCUGUGAGACGGACUCAGGUCCUUCAUAAAGUACCAGAUGACAACCAAACCCACCCUGCAACCACUCCAACAGCUCCCCAGCUGCACACAGUGCCAGCCCCCAGAUGCUGACCCGAGACUAAGGGAGGUCCUUAAGAUGAGGAAAAUAAGGCUCAGACUGCAACGAAGAGGAAAGCGACCUUUUGGCGGCCAGAGCAGGAUGGCACCCCAGCUGGCUUUGGUGUGCUCUGUCCUGUGAAACAUACACGAUGUUACAGGGCCACUCUGACAAUGAUGGGUGACAACAAAAACAACUUUGUCUAAAAGCCCACAUUGACCAGACAGCUCAUCGAAGGGAUGGCUGCUGCUUUAGCAAUGGCAGAGUGGCUUAAGGAGAGGCACUCAGAGACAACAGGAAAGGUCUAAGGCCCUUGCUCCCACCCGCUCCCUGGCAGAGCCUCGUGAGGUCAUCGGCUUUGGCUCACAGCUGGACAGAAGGGGCCAGGGGUCUGGUGUCUUUUGUCUUUUCCCUUCUGUUCAGCCAACCUGCUCCUCCUCCAGUGCCUGAGAAUCGUUUUGGAGUCACAGAAAAGUUGCAGAGGUGAUAAGAGUUCUGUGGACCCAACACCCAGCUUCCCCCUAUUACCAUCAUCUCACACUGCGCACAGCUAAUGAACGGUCCACGUGGGCAGUAAGUUCUCACUAACUAAAACCCCUAUGUUAUACAGACUUCCUUAGUUUUUCCCUUCCCCUCCUUCCUCCCUCUUUCUUCUUUUAUUCUCCUCCUCCUCCUCCUCCUGCUUCUUCUUCUCCUUCUUCCCUUUCUCCUUCCCCCCCCCCUUCUCUUCCUUCUCCUCCUUCUCCUCCUUUUCUUCCCUCUUGAUGCCCUUCUUCUGCUCUAGGAUCCCUUCCAGGACA